Molecule: ribosomal RNA, 253 nt
Filed under: uncultured bacterium
Lineage: Bacteria
Description: partial 16S ribosomal RNA
Rfam family: Bacterial small subunit ribosomal RNA
Source: RNAcentral
UACGGGGGGGGCAAGCGUUGUUCGGAAUUACUGGGCGUAAAGGGCUUGUAGGUGGCCAACUAAGUCAGACGUGAAAUCCCUCGGCUUAACCGGGGAACUGCGUCUGAUACUGGAUGGCUAGAGAUUGGGAGAGGGAUGCGGAAUUCCAGGUGUAGCGGUGAAAUGCGUAGAUAUCUGGAGGAACACCGGUGGUGAAGGCGGCAUCCUGGACCAACACUGACACUGAAAAGCGAAAGCCAGGGGAGCAAACGGG